UACGUAGGGUGCAAGCGUUGUCCGGAAUUAUUGGGCGUAAAGAGCUCGUAGGCGGUUUGUUGCGUCGGCUGUGAAAUCCCGAGGCUCAACCUCGGGUCUGCAGUCGAUACGAGCAAACUAGAGUGUUGCAGGGGAGACUGGAAUUCCUGGUGUAGCGGUGAAAUGCGCAGAUAUCAGGAGGAACACCGGUGGCGAAGGCGGUCAACUGGCCCUGAACUGACGCUCAGGCACGAAAGCGUGGGGAUCAAACAGG
RNAcentral lists this ribosomal RNA (253 nucleotides) under uncultured bacterium. RNAcentral's name for it is "partial 16S ribosomal RNA". It matches the Rfam family "Bacterial small subunit ribosomal RNA", at positions 524 to 776 of the family's 1533-position model. The record is from RNAcentral.